AAGCAGCUAAAUUUGUGCAUCGAUGGUGCAAUACUAAGACUGAGCAUUCUGCAAGUUCUAUGCCAUUUCUGCCACAUGGACAGUAUGAAAAAAAGGGGCACAAAAGCCCACUAAAGAUAAAGUGAUGUUGUAUGUAACUUGUUCAAUGUUCUCUUAACAUGUUUUGUAAUAAAAGAAAAAAAAGUUCUAAUAUCACAUCAGUGUACGAGAUCUGUUCUUUGGCUUUGUUUUCCUGCACUCAGGGUGGUCAGAGCAUCUCACAGGGAUGGGAUAUUGGAGUUGGUGUGCAAGUGUCUGAUUCAGCAGCAGUAUCCAAGAGCAGAUUCCUGCUGGGCUCCUUCAAAACUGAGGCCAUCAGGAAGAAGAUGCAUCAUCUGCCAACAUUCAAGCCCCAGCUCUGUACAAGGAGAUGCACUUACUUAAAGUAGAAGCCUGCUGGGGGCAGCUCCGAGGCCGGCUCGUUGGCCACUGACCACAUCACAACUGAGGGCCUGUUCUUAUCCCUGCGGAUCAGCUCCUCCAUCACAGCCAGGUGGUGAUUCAAGGACUUAUUCCCAAAGCUCUCGCUGGAAGACAAGAGAAGGGCCUGCCGUUGAUGAGGAACUGGGUGCUGGUGACGUGGACGGUGCGGAUGCCGACCGGGAGCGUGUACACGUCCUCCAGCAACGCCCCGCGCACCUGCGCCUGCAUUUUCACCUGGAUGGCCAAGGAGGAAGGGUAGGAGCCAGGUCUGACUAAACAGAAAAUAGAAAUCCAAGCUGGGGAGGUUAAAGGAUGAUGAAUGAGCCCCUGGAUGACCCUUGUGGGGCUUGCUCACCCCAAGAGCUGCAGUGUCUUUUCCCCAUCCUUGUCUGGCCCAUUUCAUCCCCUCCCAGGCAACACAGUAGGACUCCUUCUCUGCCCUGCAUCAGGCGGUGACUGACAUGUCACCUGCUCACAAGAGAUACAAACUUGAUACUCUGGAGACUCACAGCAGCUCAUCUGUACUGAUUUUUGCACCAAAACAUCACUACUGAUCCUUAACUCACAGAGAGUCCUCCAAGGCUCCAGCUAUUAAAGCUGAACUCUUGUCUUGCGGAGUGGGAAGAAAGCUGAGUGCAUGGCAAAGCCUGUGGAAGAGGUUGGCAGCUGCUCCUCAGAGACUCUGCUCUCAACUUGCAGGGCACCUCCUCCCCUGUGUGAUCUCAAAUGGGAUGGACUGGGCCCUAAAUGUGAAGGGGAAGCACCUCAGAGCACACAUGUUCACUCCAGCCGUGUCCUUCUCACUGCCAGACCUUUCAGUUCAGCACCCAGGGAGCUGCCAAGGCUUGAUUUGAUUACUGCCUCAUUAGCAAUGCCACACUGGUCACAUGAACAGGACCCGUGAGAGAAGAGGAGAUGGGCCAUAUGGCAGAUCCUUAACCAAAUUAAACAGAGAGAACACACAGAAAGGAAGAAAUGCCACUUUACCU
This is a long non-coding RNA of Empidonax traillii (willow flycatcher), 1451 nucleotides long. RefSeq lists it as uncharacterized. NCBI's taxonomy places the organism in Eukaryota, Metazoa, Chordata, Aves, Passeriformes, Tyrannidae. The transcript is spliced from 4 exons. The record is from RefSeq and is a predicted model, not a curated record.